Molecule: transfer RNA, 72 nt
Filed under: Phrynosoma platyrhinos (Desert horned lizard)
Lineage: Eukaryota; Metazoa; Chordata; Lepidosauria; Squamata; Phrynosomatidae
Description: tRNA-OTHER
Source: RNAcentral
GGCAGCAUGGUGUAGUGGUUUUAGUGUUGGACUACCACUCUGGAGACCUGGGUUCAAUACCCUGCUCUACCA